Molecule: ribosomal RNA, 497 nt
Filed under: uncultured bacterium
Lineage: Bacteria
Description: partial 16S ribosomal RNA
Rfam family: Bacterial small subunit ribosomal RNA
Source: RNAcentral
GAUGAACGCUGGCGGCGUGCCUAAUACAUGCAAGUCGAGCGAACGGACGAGAAGCUUGCUUUUCUGAUGUUAGCGGCGGACGGGUGAGUAACACGUGGAUAACCUACCUAUAAGACUGGGAUAACUUCGGGAAACCGGAGCUAAUACCGGAUAAUAUUUUGAACCGCAUGGUUCAAAAGUGAAAGACGGUCUUGCUGUCACUUAUAGAUGGAUCCGCGCUGCAUUAGCUAGUUGGUAAGGUAACGGCUUACCAAGGCAACGAUGCAUAGCCGACCUGAGAGGGUGAUCGGCCCCACUGGAACUGAGACACGGUCCAGACUCCUACGGGAGGCAGCAGUAGGGAAUCUUCCGCAAUGGGCGAAAGCCUGACGGAGCAACGCCGCGUGAGUGAUGAAGGUCUUCGGAUCGUAAAACUCCGUUAUUAGGGAAGAACAUAUGUGUAAGUAACUGUGCACAUCUUGACGGUACCUAAUCAGAAAGCCACGGCUAACUACGUG